ACCACGCCCCCCAACCCCGCGCGCCAGCCGGGAGCGGGGCCUGGCGGCCUUGGGGGCCGGCUGAGCUCCCGGCGCGGCGGUCUGAAGAGUUGGCGGACGGGCGGUCGAAGCGCCGAGCCCGGGGCGGGAGACGGCGGCCGCGCUGACCUCUCGGCUUUGCGGGGCUUGGCGCAGAGGCCCGCGGGGUUCACUUCCUUGAAAGUGAAGAAAGUGAAAGAAACCUUUCUUGACUACUCCAUGGGCAAUAACAACCCCACCUACUCUUUUUUCUUAACAGGAAUUAGUUUAUUCAUCAAGGAGCCCCAUCAUAGAGCGUAAUAUCAGCAAUCUGUUUUUCAUCUUAUAAUUACACAAGAAAUCUCUGACAAUGGAAUGCUCACAAGAGACCCAAUCCAGUAUAAUCACACAUAGAUGCAGAUCAGUUAUUAUGUCUUACGUUGUGUUAUCUUUAUUUUUUAAAAGAUCUAGCUACUUUUUGUAGAUUUGACUCAAAAGCAAGUAAGCAUUUAAGAAACAUAU
RNAcentral lists this long non-coding RNA (519 nucleotides) under Equus asinus (donkey). Its description in RNAcentral is "lncRNA (ENSEASG00005035669.1)". Lineage: Eukaryota; Metazoa; Chordata; Mammalia; Perissodactyla; Equidae. The record is from RNAcentral.